UACGAAGGGGGCGAGCGCUGUUCGGAGUUACUGGGCGUAAAGGGCGCGUAGGCGGCGAUCCAAGUUAGGCGUGAAAGCCCCGGGCUUAACCUGGGAAUUGCGCUUAAGACUGGACUGCUUGAGUGCGGGAGAGGUGAGUGGAAUUCCCAGUGUAGAGGUGAAAUUCGUAGAUAUUAGCUAGAACACCAGUGGCGAAGGCGGCCAACUGGUCCGGUACUGACGCUGAGGUGCGAAAGCGUGGGGAGCAAACAGG
RNAcentral lists this ribosomal RNA (253 nucleotides) under uncultured bacterium. Its description in RNAcentral is "partial 16S ribosomal RNA". It matches the Rfam family "Bacterial small subunit ribosomal RNA", at positions 524 to 776 of the family's 1533-position model. The record is from RNAcentral.